UGGGGAAUAUUGCGCAAUGGGCGGAAGCCUGACGCAGCAACGCCGCGUGCGGGAUGACGGCCUUCGGGUUGUAAACCGCUUUCAGUAGGGACGAAGCUUUUGUGACGGUACCUACAGAAGAAGCACCGGCCAACUACGUGCCAGCAGCCGCGGUGAUACGUAGGGUGCGAGCGUUGUCCGGAAUUAUUGGGCGUAAAGAGCUUGUAGGCGGUUAGUCGCGUCGGAAGUGAAAACUCGGGCCUUAACCCCGAGCUUGCUUCCGAUACGGGCUGACUAGAGGAAGGUAGGGGAGACUGGAAUUCCUGGUGUAGCGGUGGAAUGCGCAGAUAUCAGGAGGAACACCGGUGGCGAAGGCGGGUCUCUGGGCCGUUACUGACGCUGAGGAGCGAAAGCAUGGGGAGCGAACAGG
Molecule: ribosomal RNA, 409 nt
Filed under: uncultured prokaryote
Also listed under: 1 other name
Description: bacterial SSU rRNA
Rfam family: Bacterial small subunit ribosomal RNA
Source: RNAcentral